Small nucleolar RNA from Chlorocebus sabaeus (green monkey), 80 nucleotides. RefSeq annotates it as small nucleolar RNA SNORD115. The record is from RefSeq and is a predicted model, not a curated record. Lineage: Eukaryota; Metazoa; Chordata; Mammalia; Primates; Cercopithecidae.
GGGUCAAUGAUGAGAACCUUAUAGUGUCCUGAAGAGAGGUGAUGACUUAAAAAAUCAUGCUCAAUAAGUGCAGCAGGCCC